AGCGAACGCUGGCGGCAGGCCUAACACAUGCAAGUCGAACGGUCCUUCGGGACAGUGGCGGACGGGUGAGUAACGCGUGGGAACGUGCCCUUAGGUUCGGAACAACUCAGGGAAACUUGAGCUAAUACCGAAUGUGCCCUACGGGGGAAAGAUUUAUCGCCUUUGGAGCGGCCCGCGUCUGAUUAGCUAGUUGGUGAGGUAAAGGCUCACCAAGGCUACGAUCAGUAGCUGGUCUGAGAGGAUGAUCAGCCACACUGGGACUGAGACACGGCCCAGACUCCUACGGGAGGCAGCAGUGGGGAAUCUUGCGCAAUGGGCGAAAGCCCGACGCAGCCAUGCCGCGUGAAUGAUGAAGGUCUUAGGAUUGUAAAAUUCUUUCACCGGGGGCGAUAAUGACGGUACCCGGAGAAGAAGCCCCGGCUAACUUCGUGCCAGCAGCCGCGGUAAUACGAAGGGGGCUAGCGUUGCUCGGAAUUACUGGGCGUAGAGGGCGCGUAGGCGGACAGUUU
RNAcentral lists this ribosomal RNA (509 nucleotides) under uncultured bacterium. RNAcentral's name for it is "bacterial SSU rRNA". It matches the Rfam family "Bacterial small subunit ribosomal RNA", at positions 28 to 585 of the family's 1533-position model. The record is from RNAcentral.